UGAACCUGCGGAAGGAUCAUUACAGAGUUCAUGCCCGAAAGGGUAGACCUCCCACCCUUGUGUAUUAUUACUUUGUUGCUUUGGCGAGCUGCUCUUCGGGGCCUUGUAUGCUCGCCAGAGAAUAUCAAAACUCUUUUUAUUAAUGUCGUCUGAGUACUAUAUAAUAGUUAAAACUUUCAACAACGGAUCUCUUGGUUCUGGCAUCGAUGAAGAACGCAGCGAAAUGCGAUAAGUAAUGUGAAUUGCAGAAUUCAGUGAAUCAUCGAAUCUUUGAACGCACAUUGCGCCCCUUGGUAUUCCGGGGGGCAUGCCUGUUCGAGCGUCAUUUCAACCCUCAAGCUCAGCUUGGUAUUGAGUCCAUGUCAGUAAUGGCAGGCUCUAAAAUCAGUGGCGGCGCCGCUGGGUCCUGAACGUAGUAAUAUCUCUCGUUACAGGUUCUCGGUGUGCUUCUGCCAAAACCCAAAUUUUCUAUGGUUGACCUCGGAUCAGGUAGGGAUACCCGCUGAACUUAAGCAUAUCAAUAA
This 524-nucleotide ribosomal RNA is filed under the name Sclerotinia sclerotiorum. RNAcentral describes it as "eukaryotic LSU rRNA". The stretch from base 172 to 325 matches the Rfam family "5.8S ribosomal RNA". Lineage: Eukaryota; Fungi; Ascomycota; Leotiomycetes; Helotiales; Sclerotiniaceae. The record is from RNAcentral.